This 492-nucleotide ribosomal RNA is filed under the name uncultured bacterium. Its description in RNAcentral is "partial 16S ribosomal RNA". It matches the Rfam family "Bacterial small subunit ribosomal RNA", at positions 29 to 507 of the family's 1533-position model. The record is from RNAcentral.
AGUGAACGCUGGCGGUAGGCCUAACACAUGCAAGUCGAACGGCAGCACAGUAAGAGCUUGCUCUUACGGGUGGCGAGUGGCGGACGGGUGAGGAAUACAUCGGAAUCUACUUUUUCGUGGGGGAUAACGUAGGGAAACUUACGCUAAUACCGCAUACGACCUACGGGUGAAAGCAGGGGAUCUUCGGACCUUGCGCGAUUGAAUGAGCCGAUGUCGGAUUAGCUAGUUGGCGGGGUAAAGGCCCACCAAGGCGACGAUCCGUAGCUGGUCUGAGAGGAUGAUCGGCCACACUGGAACUGAGACACGGUCCAGACGCCUACGGGAGGCAGCAGUGGGGAAUAUUGGACAAUGGGCGCAAGCCUGAUCCAGCCAUACCGCGUGGGUGAAGAAGGCCUUCGGGUUGUAAAGCCCUUUUGUUGGGGAAGAAAAGCAGCAGGUUAAUACCCCGCUGUUCUGACGGUACCCAAAGAAUAAGCACCGGCUAACUUCGUG